This 1372-nucleotide ribosomal RNA is filed under the name uncultured bacterium. RNAcentral's name for it is "bacterial SSU rRNA". It matches the Rfam family "Bacterial small subunit ribosomal RNA", at positions 28 to 1381 of the family's 1533-position model. The record is from RNAcentral.
GAUGAACGCUGGCGGCGUGCCUAAUACAUGCAAGUCGAGCGAACGGACGAGAAGCUUGCUUCUCUGAUGUUAGCGGCGGACGGGUGAGUAACACGUGGAUAACCUACCUAUAAGACUGGGAUAACUUCGGGAAACCGGAGCUAAUACCGGAUAAUAUUUUGAACCGCAUGGUUCAAAAGUGAAAGACGGUCUUGCUGUCACUUAUAGAUGGAUCCGCGCUGCAUUAGCUAGUUGGUAAGGUAACGGCUUACCAAGGCAACGAUGCAUAGCCGACCUGAGAGGGUGAUCGGCCACACUGGAACUGAGACACGGUCCAGACUCCUACGGGAGGCAGCAGUAGGGAAUCUUCCGCAAUGGGCGAAAGCCUGACGGAGCAACGCCGCGUGAGUGAUGAAGGUCUUCGGAUCGUAAAACUCUAUUAUUAGGGAAGAACAUAUGUGUAAGUAACUGUGCACAUCUUGACGGUACCUAAUCAGAAAGCCACGGCUAACUACGUGCCAGCAGCCGCGGUAAUACGUAGGUGGCAAGCGUUAUCCGGAAUUAUUGGGCGUAAAGCGCGCGCAGGCGGUUUUUUAAGUCUGAUGUGAAAGCCCACGGCUCAACCGUGGAGGGUCAUUGGAAACUGGAAAACUUGAGUGCAGAAGAGGAAAGUGGAAUUCCAUGUGUAGCGGUGAAAUGCGCAGAGAUAUGGAGGAACACCAGUGGCGAAGGCGACUUUCUGGUCUGUAACUGACGCUGAUGUGCGAAAGCGUGGGGAUCAAACAGGAUUAGAUACCCUGGUAGUCCACGCCGUAAACGAUGAGUGCUAAGUGUUAGGGGGUUUCCGCCCCUUAGUGCUGCAGCUAACGCAUUAAGCACUCCGCCUGGGGAGUACGACCGCAAGGUUGAAACUCAAAGGAAUUGACGGGGACCCGCACAAGCGGUGGAGCAUGUGGUUUAAUUCGAAGCAACGCGAAGAACCUUACCAAAUCUUGACAUCCUUUGACAACUCUAGAGAUAGAGCCUUCCCCUUCGGGGGACAAAGUGACAGGUGGUGCAUGGUUGUCGUCAGCUCGUGUCGUGAGAUGUUGGGUUAAGUCCCGCAACGAGCGCAACCCUUAAGCUUAGUUGCCAUCAUUAAGUUGGGCACUCUAAGUUGACUGCCGGUGACAAACCGGAGGAAGGUGGGGAUGACGUCAAAUCAUCAUGCCCCUUAUGAUUUGGGCUACACACGUGCUACAAUGGACAAUACAAAGGGCAGCGAAACCGCGAGGUCAAGCAAAUCCCAUAAAGUUGUUCUCAGUUCGGAUUGUAGUCUGCAACUCGACUACAUGAAGCUGGAAUCGCUAGUAAUCGUAGAUCAGCAUGCUACGGUGAAUACGUUCCCGGGUCU